Molecule: non-coding RNA, 21 nt
Filed under: Caenorhabditis elegans
Lineage: Eukaryota; Metazoa; Nematoda; Chromadorea; Rhabditida; Rhabditidae
Source: RNAcentral
UUUAGGAUUUUUGAUUUUAGU